RNAcentral lists this ribosomal RNA (403 nucleotides) under uncultured Brevundimonas sp. RNAcentral's name for it is "bacterial SSU rRNA". It matches the Rfam family "Bacterial small subunit ribosomal RNA", at positions 115 to 543 of the family's 1533-position model. The record is from RNAcentral. Lineage: Bacteria; Pseudomonadati; Pseudomonadota; Alphaproteobacteria; Caulobacterales; Caulobacteraceae.
GCGUAAGAACCUGCCCUUAGGAGGGGGACAACAGCUGGAAACGGCUGCUAAUACCCCAUAUGCUGAGGAGUAAAACGGUGUAAACCGCCUAGGGAUGGGCUUGCGCCUGAUUAGCUAGUUGGUAAGGUAAAAGCGUACCAAGGCGACGAUCAGUAGCUGGUCUGAGAGGAUAACCAGCCACAUUGGGACUGAGACACGGCCCAGACUCCUACGGGAGGCAGCAGUGAGGAAUUUUCCGCAAUGGGCGCAAGCCUGACGGAGCAAUGCCGCGUGAAGGAAGAAGGCCCGUGGGUUGUAAACUUCUUUUCUUAGAGAAGAAUCCGAGAGGAGGACGGUAUUUGAGGAAUAAGCAUCGGCUAACCCUGUGCCAGCAGCCGCGGUAAUACAGAGGAUGCAAGCGUUA